Molecule: ribosomal RNA, 433 nt
Filed under: uncultured bacterium
Lineage: Bacteria
Description: partial 16S ribosomal RNA
Rfam family: Bacterial small subunit ribosomal RNA
Source: RNAcentral
AACGAACGCUGGCGGCAUGCCUAACACAUGCAAGUCGAACGAGACCUUCGGGUCUAGUGGCGCACGGGUGCGUAACGCGUGGGAACCUGUCCUUAGGUUCGGAAUAACUCCCCGAAAGGGGUGCUAAUACCGGAUAAUGUCUUCGGACUAAAGAUUUAUCGCCUUUGGAUGGGCCCGCGUUGGAUUAGCUAGUUGGUAGGGUAAAAGCCUACCAAGGCGACGAUCCAUAGCUGGUCUGAGAGGAUGAUCAGCCACACUGGGACUGAGACACGGCCCAGACUCCUACGGGAGGCAGCAGUGGGGAAUAUUGGACAGUGGGCGAAAGCCUGAUCCAGCAAUGCCGCGUGAGUGAUGAAGGCCUUAGGGUUGUAAAGCUCUUUUACCCGGGAUGAUAAUGACAGUACCGGGAGAAUAAGCUCCGGCUAACUCCGUG